This 464-nucleotide ribosomal RNA is filed under the name Segatella salivae. Its description in RNAcentral is "bacterial SSU rRNA". It matches the Rfam family "Bacterial small subunit ribosomal RNA", at positions 29 to 482 of the family's 1533-position model. Lineage: Bacteria; Pseudomonadati; Bacteroidota; Bacteroidia; Bacteroidales; Prevotellaceae. The record is from RNAcentral.
AUGACCGCUAGCUCCAGGCUUACCACAUGCAAGUCGAGGGGAAACGACAUUGAAGCUUGCUUCGAUGGGCGUCGACCGGCGCACGGGUGAGUAACGCGUAUCCAACCUGCCUCUGACUAAGGGACAACCCGGCGAAAGUCGGACUAAUACCUUAUGAGGUUUUCAGCAGACAUCUAAUGAAAACGAAAGAUUUAUCGGUCAGUGAUGGGGAUGCGUCUGAUUAGCUUGUUGGCGGGGUAACGGCCCACCAAGGCAACGAUCAGUAGGGGUUCUGAGAGGAAGGUCCCCCACAUUGGAACUGAGACACGGUCCAAACUCCUACGGGAGGCAGCAGUGAGGAAUAUUGGUCAAUGGGCGAGAGCCUGAACCAGCCAAGUAGCGUGCAGGAUGACGGCCCUAUGGGUUGUAAACUGCUUUUAUGUGGGGAUAAAGUGAGCUACGUGUAGUUUAUUGCAGGUACCACA